This 569-nucleotide ribosomal RNA is filed under the name uncultured Glomeromycotina. RNAcentral describes it as "SSU rRNA". It matches the Rfam family "Eukaryotic small subunit ribosomal RNA", at positions 548 to 1114 of the family's 1831-position model. The record is from RNAcentral. Lineage: Eukaryota; Fungi; Glomeromycota.
UUGGAGGGCAAGUCUGGUGCCAGCAGCCGCGGUAAUUCCAGCUCCAAUAGCGUAUAUUAAAGUUGUUGCAGUUAAAAAGCUCGUAGUUGAAUUUCGGGAUUGGCGCAUCGGUCGUGCCUCACGGGGUAUGAACUGGUGCAGUCAAUUUCUCACCUUCUGGAGAACCGCGAUGUCCUUAACUGGAUGCCGCGGGGAACCAGGACCUUUACUUUGAAAAAAUUAGAGUGUUUAAAGCAGGCAUUUUUGCUUGAAUACAUUAGCAUGGAAUAAUAAAAUAGGACGGCAUGGUUCUAUUGUGUUGGUUUCUAGGACCACCGUAAUGAUUAAUAGGGAUAGUUGGGGGCAUUAGUAUUCAAUUGUCAGAGGUGAAAUUCUUGGAUUUAUUGAAGACUAACUACUGCGAGAGCAUUUGCCAAGGAUGUUUUCAUUAAUCAAGAACGAAAGUUAGGGGAUCGAAGACGAUCAGAUACCGUCGUAGUCUUAACCAUAAACUAUGCCGACUAGGGAUCGGACGGUGGUUAUUUUAUGCCCCGUUCGGCACCUUACGGGAAACCAAAGUGUUUGGGUUC